UAGGGAAUCUUCGGCAAUGGGGGGAACCCUGACCGAGCAACGCCGCGUGAGUGAAGAAGGUUUUCGGAUCGUAAAGCUCUGUUGUUAAGGAAGAACGAGUGUGAGAAUGGAAAGUUCAUACUGUGACGGUACUUAACCAGAAAGGGACGGCUAACUACGUGCCAGCAGCCGCGGUAAUACGUAGGUCCCGAGCGUUGUCCGGAUUUAUUGGGCGUAAAGCGAGCGCAGGCGGUUAGAUAAGUCUGAAGUUAAAGGCAGUGGCUCAACCAUUGUAGGCUUUGGAAACUGUUUAACUUGAGUGCAGAAGGGGGGAGUGGAAAUCCAUGUGUAGCGGUGAAAUGCGUAGAUAUAUGGAGGAACACCGGUGGCGAAAGCGGCUCUCUGGUCUGUAACUGACGCUGAGGCUCGAAAGCGUGGGGAGCGAACAGG
This 429-nucleotide ribosomal RNA is filed under the name Bacteroidota bacterium. RNAcentral's name for it is "Bacteroidetes bacterium partial 16S ribosomal RNA". It matches the Rfam family "Bacterial small subunit ribosomal RNA", at positions 355 to 776 of the family's 1533-position model. Lineage: Bacteria; Pseudomonadati; Bacteroidota. The record is from RNAcentral.